This 28-nucleotide small RNA is filed under the name Bombyx mori (domestic silkworm). RNAcentral's name for it is "ovarian small RNA-10145". The record is from RNAcentral. Lineage: Eukaryota; Metazoa; Arthropoda; Insecta; Lepidoptera; Bombycidae.
AAAUCGCUAGCCUGUGAUAGUGCCACAG